This 484-nucleotide ribosomal RNA is filed under the name uncultured bacterium. Its description in RNAcentral is "partial 16S ribosomal RNA". It matches the Rfam family "Bacterial small subunit ribosomal RNA", at positions 30 to 507 of the family's 1533-position model. The record is from RNAcentral.
ACUGAACGCUGGCGGCAUGCCUUACACAUGCAAGUCGAACGGCAGCGCGGGCUUCGGCCUGGCGGUGUGUGGCGAACGGGCGGGUAAUGCACCGGAACGUGCCCACCAGUGGGGGAUGGCCUGGCGAAAGCCGGAUUAAUCCCGCAUACGACCUGAGGGUGAAAGCGGGGGACCGAAAGUUCUCGCGCUCUUGGAGCUGCCGAUGUCGGAUUACCUCGUUCGUGCGGUAAAGGCUUACCAUGGCGACGAUUCGUAGCUGGUCUGAGAGGACGACCAGCCACACUGGCACUGAGACACGGCCCAGACUCCUACGGGAGGCAGCAGUGGGGAAUUUUGAGCAAUGGGGGGAAGCCUGAUCGAGCCAUGCGGCGGGCGGGAAGAAGGCCUUAGGGUUGGAAACCGCUUUUGUUCGGGAAGAAAUCCUCUGUGCUUAUACCCGGGGGGGAUGACGGUACCGGAAGAAUAAGCCCCGGCUAACUACGUG